This 250-nucleotide ribosomal RNA is filed under the name uncultured prokaryote. RNAcentral describes it as "partial 16S ribosomal RNA". It matches the Rfam family "Bacterial small subunit ribosomal RNA", at positions 524 to 773 of the family's 1533-position model. The record is from RNAcentral.
UACGUAUGGUGCAAGCGUUAUCCGGAUUUACUGGGUGUAAAGGGAGCGUAGACGGCAAAGCAAGUCUGAUGUGAAAGCUAUGGGCUCAACCCAUAAACUGCAUUGGAAACUGUUUAGCUAGAGUGUCGGAGAGGUAAGUGGAAUUCCUAGUGUAGCGGUGAAAUGCGUAGAUAUUAGGAGGAACACCGGUGGCGAAGGCGGCUUACUGGACGAUAACUGACGUUGAGGCUCGAAAGCGUGGGGAGCAAAC